UGGGGAAUUUUGCACAAUGGACGCAAGUCUGAUGCAGCGACGCCGCGUGAGGGAUGUAGGCCUUCGGGUUGUGAACCUCUUUCGCUCAUGGUCAAGCCGCAGCUUUGGGUUGUGGUGAGGGUAGUGGGUAAAGAAGCGCCGGCUAACUACGUGCCAGCAGCCGCGGNAAUACGUAGGGCGCGAGCGUUGUCCGGAAUUAUNGNGCGUAAAGGGCUUGUAGGCGGUUGGUCGCGUCUGCCGUGAAAUCCUCUGGCUUAACUGGGGGCGUGCGGUGGGUACGGGCUGGCUUGAGUGCGGUAGGGGNNACNNGAAAUCCUGGUGUAGCGGUGGAAUGCGCAGAUAUCAGGAGGAACACCGGUGGCGAAGGCGGGUCUCUGGGCCGUUACUGACGCUGAGGAGCGAAAGCGUGGGGAGCGAACAGGAUUAGAUACCCUGGUAGUCCACGCUGUAAACGUUGGGCACUAGGUGUGGGGGCCACCCGUGGUUUCUGCGCCGUAGCUAACGCUUUAAGUGCCCCGCCUGGGGAGUACGGCCGCAAGGCUAA
Molecule: ribosomal RNA, 544 nt
Filed under: uncultured bacterium
Lineage: Bacteria
Description: bacterial SSU rRNA
Rfam family: Bacterial small subunit ribosomal RNA
Source: RNAcentral